RNAcentral lists this long non-coding RNA (226 nucleotides) under Capsicum annuum. Its description in RNAcentral is "long non-coding RNA (CANN_LNC012708)". Lineage: Eukaryota; Viridiplantae; Streptophyta; Magnoliopsida; Solanales; Solanaceae. The record is from RNAcentral.
CAAAUACCAGCUGAGCCUAUGCGUACCUCUACCACCCCACGAUUAGAAGGAUCAAUCAAUAUACAACAACAUAAGGCAUAUUUUUCACUCAUAUCUAUGCAACCAUCCUAUAUCGACUGAUAGACAUAGGUUCAUACUGGUGAUAGGCACAUGCAGGAAUGAAUGCAAAGUAUACAAUCAAUAUCACAACUCAUUAUAAAUAUCCUCAUCAGGACCAUCAUCAUCA